GACGAACGCUGGCGGCGUGCUUAACACAUGCAAGUCGAACGGAAAGGCCCUGCUUGCAGGGUGCUCGAGUGGCGAACGGGUGAGUAACACGUGGGUGAUCUGCCCUGCACUUCGGGGUAAGCCUGGGAAACUGGGUCUAUUACCGGAUAGGAGACAUUUUUAGUGUGAUGGUUGGAUAGUUUUUUUGGUGUAGGAUGAGAUCGCGGCCUAUCAGCUUGUUGGUGGGGUAAUGGCCUACCAAGGCGGCGACGGGUAGCCGGCCUGAGAGGGUGGACGGCCACAUUGGGACUGAGAUACGGCCCAGACUCCUACGGGAGGCAACAGUGGGGAAUAUUGCACAAUGGGCGCAAGCCGGAUGCAGCGACGCCGCGUGGGGGAUGACGGGCUUCGGGUUGUAAACUCCUUUCGCUAGGGACGGAGCUGUUUGUGACGGUACCGAGAUAAGAAGCACCGGCUAACUACGUG
This 465-nucleotide ribosomal RNA is filed under the name uncultured bacterium. RNAcentral's name for it is "partial 16S ribosomal RNA". It matches the Rfam family "Bacterial small subunit ribosomal RNA", at positions 28 to 507 of the family's 1533-position model. The record is from RNAcentral.